Molecule: long non-coding RNA, 1522 nt
Organism: Amblyraja radiata (thorny skate)
Lineage: Eukaryota; Metazoa; Chordata; Chondrichthyes; Rajiformes; Rajidae
Exons: 3
Source: RefSeq, a predicted model, not a curated record
UGACUCCAGCUUUUUGUGUCUAUCUUCAGUAUGUCAUUCAUUCAGCUGGGCUCGCUGUCUGGGCGCUGCGCUGUCACUGUCAGUGUAUCCAGACAUCAGAACUGGGACGAAAAUAGUUGUUUGUAUCGUGGGAGAUUCUUCCAUGGCUCUAUGACACCGAGGCAUCCGCACAGGAAUUACCCUGGGCGAUCUGGAGAACAAUUUCCAACUAUCCAGGGUAAAGGAGAUGUCGGUGGUGACCCGAGUCUCCUAAUAAUUCGCAAAAGCAAGUACUCUUCAAACAGAAUGAAAAAUGCACUUAAUUACUUUAAGCGGACGCAUACUAUAUUGUUCCGGACGACAGCUGAUACCGAGGCCAGAAUUUAUAAGUGUGUGGACUGAAAUGACCCAUUUCUUAACAGGAUGGUCCAAAGUAUUUGCCCUAGAAAAGAUACACAUUUGGAAAGCUCUCUUAAGCUUCUAUACCAUAAUUCCACAAGCAAUAUGAUGUUGAUGUUGAAUCUGUGAGAAGAAAGAAAGGGGGUAGUAAUCUCUCAAAGAUCUUAGACAUUACUUCGGGGAAAAUGUGGAACAAGAUUGUUUCCAUUCUUAAGCCAAAUCAAACAAAUAUUUAAGCUACUAUAGGUUGUUUCUUCCAGCUAAGACUAAUGCAUUUUGGGGGAACUGUUUGGAAUUGAAAUUGAGUAAAAUUAAGUUUAACAUUCUGACAGAAGAGAGAUUUGAGCUUUCAAUUCCCUUCAUAUAUAGUGAUGUUUCCUUUUUGUGUCAGCAUUUGUUGAAUAAUGAAAGACAGAGACAGCUGCUCCUUGAAUUCUUACAGAACUAGAUUUCACUCAUUAUAUUCUGGAGAUAUGCCAUGCCCUCAGGAGGGACAACAUGCUCACUUGGUUUUGGCAUCAGAUAGUAAGCAUCUAUCACUUCCCAUGAUGCAUUUCCACCAUAUAUUUUAGUGUUUUACAGUACAAUGCUUCACUUCAAAUUUUUGACACCAUCUCCUACUCGAGCACAUUACUGUCUGCAGCAAAAAAAAGGUUCAAGUUGCAUGAUACUUCAUCAGAAACAGGAAAGCCAGCACAUUUUAAUACUAUUCGUGAUUAUCUCUAUAAAUCUAGGUCCAAUUAUUUGUGGCUUAACUGAAUCACCAUAAAUGUUUAAACAUAUGAAACUCAUUAUAGUUAUCUCGCCAUGUACUGAUAGAAUGGACUGUUGAAAAACAUUUUCAAUGUUUCAAUAAGUCUGUGGAGCCUAUCAGUAUACUAAUGGGAAAAUAUUCCCAAUAGACUGAAAAGUUUACUGGUUUAAACAGGAGACCAAUAUAAAUCAGAUAACUAUAGACUAUAACUAAAUAUAUAUAAUAUUAAUAAUGAAAAACAAAAUUUAUGUACCUUAGAAAGCAGUAAGCAGUCAUGAUUCAGCAGACGAUGAUUCAGAUAACAACCUGUCCCUAAACACCUCUAAGGCCAAGGAACUGAUUAUCAACUUCAGAAGGACACAUAAUGGGGAAUACGCCCCAAUCUUUAUC